AUACUUACCUGGCAGGGGAGAGACACCAUGAUCAAGAAGGUGGUUCACCCACGGUGAGACUCAGCCAUAGCACUCCGAACCAAACUGAGAGACCAUUUUGAAGGCUCAGGAAACCUCUGCAGGUGUUUUGAGUUGAUUAGCUGAUUGGCAUGUCACCAUAUUCUAAUU
This 168-nucleotide small nuclear RNA is filed under the name Sinocyclocheilus grahami. RNAcentral describes it as "U1 spliceosomal RNA (ENSSGRG00000020857.1)". The stretch from base 1 to 146 matches the Rfam family "U1 spliceosomal RNA". Rfam says of the family: U1 is a small nuclear RNA (snRNA) component of the spliceosome (involved in pre-mRNA splicing). Its 5' end forms complementary base pairs with the 5' splice junction, thus defining the 5' donor site of an intron. The record is from RNAcentral. Lineage: Eukaryota; Metazoa; Chordata; Actinopteri; Cypriniformes; Cyprinidae.